AGUGAACGCUGGCGGUAGGCCUAACACAUGCAAGUCGAACGGCAGCACAGUAAGAGCUUGCUCUUACGGGUGGCGAGUGGCGGACGGGUGAGGAAUACAUCGGAAUCUACUUUUUCGUGGGGGAUAACGUAGGGAAACUUACGCUAAUACCGCAUACGACCUACGGGUGAAAGCAGGGAAUCUUCGGACCUUGCGCGAUUGAAUGGGCCGAUGUCGGAUUAGCUAGUUGGCGGGGUAAAGGCCCACCAAGGCGACGAUCCGUAGCUGGUCUGAGAGGAUGAUCAGCCACACUGGAACUGAGACACGGUCCAGACUCCUACGGGAGGCAGCAGUGGGGAAUAUUGGACAAUGGGCGCAAGCCUGAUCCAGCCAUACCGCGUGGGUGAAGAAGGCCUUCGGGUUGUAAAGCCCUUUUGUUGGGAAAGAAAAGCAGCAGGUUAAUACCCCGCUGUUCUGACGGUACCCAAAGAAUAAGCACCGGCUAACUUCGUG
This 492-nucleotide ribosomal RNA is filed under the name uncultured bacterium. RNAcentral's name for it is "partial 16S ribosomal RNA". It matches the Rfam family "Bacterial small subunit ribosomal RNA", at positions 29 to 507 of the family's 1533-position model. The record is from RNAcentral.